This 129-nucleotide non-coding RNA is filed under the name chicken gut metagenome. RNAcentral describes it as "FMN riboswitch (RFN element)". It matches the Rfam family "FMN riboswitch aptamer (RFN element)". From Rfam's summary of the family: The RFN element is a highly conserved domain that is found frequently in the 5'-untranslated regions of prokaryotic mRNAs that encode for flavin mononucleotide (FMN) biosynthesis and transport proteins. This element is a metabolite-dependent riboswitch that directly binds FMN in the absence of proteins. The record is from RNAcentral.
UGUCUUCGGGGCGGGGUGCAAGUCCCCACCGGCGGUGACGUGUUCUUUGCACGAAGCCCGCGAGUUCCAAUUUUUGGUACAGAUCCGGUGUGAUUCCGGAGCCGACGGUAUAGUCCGGAUGAAAGAAGA